Molecule: long non-coding RNA, 907 nt
Organism: Glycine soja
Lineage: Eukaryota; Viridiplantae; Streptophyta; Magnoliopsida; Fabales; Fabaceae
Exons: 2
Source: RefSeq, a predicted model, not a curated record
CCCUAUAAAUAUGGUCUUUCUCUUGAAAAAAUAGAAGCAUGCAUGAGAGAUUGAAGGAGCUAGAUGAGAAAAUGUUGAUAGAAGAAAGGUUUAGGGACUCCUGUCGUAGGAGAGAUGACGCCUUCUGUUAGGUAAUUAAUAUGUUGCAAAGCCAACUUGAAUUAGCAGUAGCUGUCAUCUUUCCUCGGCUGAAGCCCCUUCACAGAUUUCUGUUCAAUUCCUAACUUGGCUGAGUUAUUUCCAAGGAGCUGCUAAACAAUGGGACCUGGAAAGUCAACUACACAUGCCAUGUUUUACCCCUAGUAGUAGUCUCUAGAACAACAUAUAUACGGGGGAUAUGAUGACAGCCUACAUUUGGAAUCACGUACGAUAGAUUCUUUAAGAAUAAUAAUUUUAAAUUCUCCUCUUGAUUUUAAGGAUCUGUUUAGGAUAAUUCCAAAAACUAUGUUAUAUUUUUUAUAAAAAAAAAACUUUCAAAAGCAUCAUAACAGGAGGAAGGGAUUCUAAUUAUGUUGGCACAGGUGCAUGUAGUAGUUCUUCAAUUUCUUCAUAGUAACAAUGUGUUAUGGUUUUUCGGUUGGUGUGGGAAUGGAAAGGAAUUGUGUGAGAUUCAAAUUGAAAAACCCCUUUUUUUGAGUUGUAACCGAUUUUAAGGAGUGUUGAGUGGGGAAGAGAGAAAGAGAGUGGGGUGCUGAGAAAUUGUUGAGGAGAGAGGUGUGUUUGAAUGGGGAUGGAGAUGAUGUGGUGUGUUGGUUUACUUCUUUAAAGACUCAAGAUGGAACAAUACAGAUGCACCAAGAGUACAACACAAGAGCUUCUUCUUAAUUUUUUAUUCCUUGUUACUUGUUAGCACACUUUUCUUAUAUAAAUUAUAAAUAAAUAAUAAAUAACUAACAACUUGUUAGUA